RNAcentral lists this ribosomal RNA (253 nucleotides) under uncultured bacterium. RNAcentral describes it as "partial 16S ribosomal RNA". It matches the Rfam family "Bacterial small subunit ribosomal RNA", at positions 524 to 776 of the family's 1533-position model. The record is from RNAcentral.
UACGUAGGGGCCAAGCGUUGUCCGGAUUUAUUGGGCGUAAAGGGCUCGUAGGCGGUUUGUCGCGUCGGGAGUGAAAACACCGGGCUUAACUCGGUGCUUGCUUUCGAUACGGGCAGACUAGAGGUAUGCAGGGGAGAACGGAAUUCCUGGUGUAGCGGUGAAAUGCGCAGAUAUCAGGAGGAACACCGGUGGCGAAGGCGGUUCUCUGGGCAUGACCUGACGCUGAGGAGCGAAAGUGUGGGGAGCGAACAGG